UGGCCGCGGGAUUAGAGUUUGAUCCUGGCUCAGAAUAAACGCUGGCGGCGUGCCUAACACAUGCAAGUCGAGCGUGAACGGGACUUCGGUCCCUAGUAAAGCGGCGAACGGGUGAGUAACACGUGGGCAACCUGCCUCAAGGACUGGGAUAACCCCGGGAAACCGGGGCUAAUACCGGACGAUGUCUUCCUGCACAAGUAGGACGACCAAAGGUAGCUUCGGCCUCCGCCUUGAGAUGGGCCCGCGUCCUAUCAGCUUGUUGGUGAGGUAACGGCUCACCAAGGCUACGACGGGUAGCUGGUCUGAGAGGAUGAUCAGCCACACUGGGACUGAGAUACGGCCCAGACUCCUACGGGAGGCAGCAGUGGGGAAUCUUGCGCAAUGGGCGAAAGCCUGACGCAGCAACGCCGCGUGAGCGAAGAAGGCCUUCGGGUUGUAAAGCUCUGUCAGGGGGAAAGAAGGCACCUGGGUUAAUAGCCCAAGGGCUGACGGUACCUCCAAAGGAAGCCACGGCUAACUACGUGCCAGCAGCCGCGGUAAUACGUAGGUGGCGAGCGUUGUCCGGAAUCAUUGGGCGUAAAGAGCGCGUAGGUGGCUUGUCAGGUCCGAUGUGAAAACCUGGGGCUCAACUCCAGGCCUGCAUCGGAAACCGGCUUGCUAGAGUCUGGGAGAGGAGAGUGGAAUUCCUGGUGUAGCGGUGAAAUGCGUAGAUAUCAGGAGGAACACCGGUAGCGAAGGCGGCUCUCUGGAACAGUACUGACGCUGAGGCGCGAAAGCUAGGGGAGCGAACAGGAUUAGAUACCCUGGUAGUCCUAGCCGUAAACGAUGGACACUAGGUGUCGGGGGUGUCGACUCCCUCGGUG
This 863-nucleotide ribosomal RNA is filed under the name uncultured bacterium. Its description in RNAcentral is "bacterial SSU rRNA". It matches the Rfam family "Bacterial small subunit ribosomal RNA", at positions 1 to 845 of the family's 1533-position model. The record is from RNAcentral.